CACGUAGGGGCCAAGCGUUGUCCGGAUUUAUUGGGCGUAAAGAGCGUGUAGGCGGCCAUACAGGUCAGCUGUGAAAACUCGAGGCUCAACCUCGAGACGUCGGUUGAAACCGUAUGGCUAGAGUCCGGAAGAGGAGAGUGGAAUUCCCGGUGUAGCGGUGAAAUGCGCAGAUAUCGGGAAGAACACCCGUGGCGAAGGCGGCUCUCUGGGACGGUACUGACGCUGAGACGCGAAAGCGUGGGGAGCGAACAGG
RNAcentral lists this ribosomal RNA (253 nucleotides) under uncultured bacterium. RNAcentral's name for it is "partial 16S ribosomal RNA". It matches the Rfam family "Bacterial small subunit ribosomal RNA", at positions 524 to 776 of the family's 1533-position model. The record is from RNAcentral.